GAGGAGCCUACGUCCGAUUAGCUAGUUGGCGGGGUAAAGGCCCACCAAGGCGACGAUCGGUAGCUGGUCUGAGAGGACGACCAGCCACACUGGGACUGAGACACGGCCCAGACUCCUACGGGAGGCAGCAGUGGGGAAUUUUUCGCAAUGGGGGCAACCCUGACGAAGCAAUGCCGCGUGGAUGAAGAAGGCCUUCGGGUUGUAAAGUCCUUUCGUGGAGGACGAAAAGGUGGGUUCUAAUACAAUCUGCUAUUGACGUGAAUCCAAGAAGAAGCACCGGCUAACUCCGUGCCAGCAGC
Molecule: ribosomal RNA, 299 nt
Filed under: Acidithiobacillus ferrooxidans
Lineage: Bacteria; Pseudomonadati; Pseudomonadota; Acidithiobacillia; Acidithiobacillales; Acidithiobacillaceae
Description: partial 16S rRNA
Rfam family: Bacterial small subunit ribosomal RNA
Source: RNAcentral